This 67-nucleotide transfer RNA is filed under the name Marmota monax (woodchuck). Its description in RNAcentral is "tRNA.Ala". Lineage: Eukaryota; Metazoa; Chordata; Mammalia; Rodentia; Sciuridae. The record is from RNAcentral.
GGUUGUAGCUCACUGGUAGAGCGCUUGCCUAGCAUGUGUGAGGCAUUGGGUUCAAUUCUCAGCAUCA